GUCGUGAGAUGUUGGGUUAAGUCCCGCAACGAGCGCAACCCUUAUCUUAUGUUGCCAGCGCGUAAUGGCGGGGACUCGUGAGAGACUGCCGGGGUCAACUCGGAGGAAGGUGGGGAUGACGUCAAGUCAUCAUGCCCCUUAUGUCCAGGGCUUCACACAUGCUACAAUGGCCGGUACAAAGGGCUGCGAAGCCGUGAGGUGGAGCGAAUCCUUUCAAAGCCGGUCUCAGUUCGGAUCGGGGUCUGCAACUCGACCCCGUGAAGUCGGAGUCGCUAGUAAUCGCGGAUCAGCAACGCUGCGGUGAAUACGUUCCCGGGCCUUGUACACACCGCCCGUCACGUCAUGAAAGUCGGUAACACCCGAAGCCGGUGGCCUAACCCCUUGUGGGAGGGAGCCGUCGAAGGUGGGAUCGGCGAUUGGGACGAAGUCGUAACAAGGUAGCCGUACCGGAAGGUGCGGCUGGAUCACCUCCUUUCUAAGGAGCACCACGAGACCCGGCCGGCCCCGUAAAUCGCGGGAUCAGCUGAUUGUCGGGCGAUUCGUUGGAUGGCCUGUUCUCUGUAGUGGAGGCGGGUCUGGUGCACACAACAAACAUUUAUGUGCCGGAUCGGGAUUCAGCUUUCGGGCUGGGUUUUCGGUGCACGGCUGCCAGACACACUAUUGGGCUUUGAGACAACAAGCCCGCGGACUGGCCUCGUUGGAGGUUGGUGCCGGCCCUUGAGGUGUCCUCUGCACGGUGUGUGGGGGUUCGGAGGGGGUUCUUGUUGUUGCCCUGCUUUGGUGGUGGGGUGUGGUGUUUGAUUUGUGGAUAGUGGUUGCGAGCAUCUGAGCGCAUCGGCCUCGUUGUGGGGUGGGUGUGUUCGGUGUAAUGCAAAUUUUUCUGAUACUCGCAUGCAUUCUUUCGGGGGUGUGUGUGGGUGAUGACUCAUUUUUUGGUUUUGUGUUGUAAGUGUUUAAGGGCGCAUGGUGGAUGCCUUGGCACUGGGAGCCGAUGAAGGACGUGGGAGGCUGCGAUAUGCCUCGGGGAGCUGUCAACCGAGCGUGGAUCCGAGGAUGU
RNAcentral lists this small RNA (1057 nucleotides) under uncultured Mycobacterium sp. Its description in RNAcentral is "bacterial SSU rRNA". The stretch from base 1 to 475 matches the Rfam family "Bacterial small subunit ribosomal RNA", at positions 1064 to 1533 of the family's 1533-position model. The record is from RNAcentral. Lineage: Bacteria; Bacillati; Actinomycetota; Actinomycetes; Mycobacteriales; Mycobacteriaceae.